This 1086-nucleotide unclassified non-coding RNA is filed under the name Pulex irritans. Its description in RNAcentral is "SSU rRNA". It matches the Rfam family "Eukaryotic small subunit ribosomal RNA", at positions 181 to 1208 of the family's 1831-position model. The record is from RNAcentral. Lineage: Eukaryota; Metazoa; Arthropoda; Insecta; Siphonaptera; Pulicidae.
UUCCGACCAGAGAUGGAAGGAAUGCUUUUAUUAGAUCAAAACCAAUCGGUGGCGGGCUUGCCUUGCAACCGUUUGACUUGGUGACUCUGAAUAACUUUGUGCUGAUCGCACGGUCUCGUACCGGCGACGCAUCUUUCAAAUGUCUGCCUUAUCAACUGUCGAUGGUAGUUUCUGCGACUACCAUGGUUGUUACGGGUAACGGGGAAUCAGGGUUCGAUUCCGGAGAGGGAGCCUGAGAAACGGCUACCACAUCCAAGGAAGGCAGCAGGCGCGCAAAUUACCCACUCCCGGCACGGGGAGGUAGUGACGAAAAAUAACGAUACGGGACUCAUCCGAGGCCCCGUAAUCGGAAUGAGUACACUUUAAAUCCUUUAACGAGGAUCUAUUAGAGGGCCAGUCUGGUGCCAGCAGCCGCGGUAAUUCCAGCUCUAAUAGCGUAUAUUAAAGUUGUUGCGGUUAAAAAGCUCGUAGUUGAAUCUGUGUCCCACACUGUCGGUUCACCGCUCGCGGUGUUCAACUGGCAUGUCUGUGGGACGUCCUACCGGUGGGCUUAGCCCGUCAAAAGGCGGCCCAACUCAAAAUCCUACCACGGUGCUCUUCACCGAGUGUCGAGGUGGGCCGGUACGUUUACUUUGAACAAAUUAGAGUGCUUAAAGCAGGCUCAUUUGCCUGAAUAUUGUGUGCAUGGAAUAAUGGAAUAGGACCUCGGUUCUAUUUUGUUGGUUUUCGGAAUUCCGAGGUAAUGAUUAAUAGGGACAACUGGGGGCAUUCGUAUUGCGACGUUAGAGGUGAAAUUCUUGGAUCGUCGCAAGACGGACAGAAGCGAAAGCAUUUGCCAAAUGUGUUUUCAUCAAUCAAGAACGAAAGUUAGAGGUUCGAAGGCGAUCAGAUACCGCCCUAGUUCUAACCAUAAACGAUGCCAGCUAGCGAUCCGCCGAAGUUCCUCCGAUGACUCGGCGGGCAGCUUCCGGGAAACCAAAGCUUUUGGGUUCCGGGGGAAGUAUGGUUGCAAAGCUGAAACUUAAAGGAAUUGACGGAAGGGCACCACCAGGAGUGGAGCCUGCGGCUUAAUUUGACUCAACACGG